RNAcentral lists this ribosomal RNA (301 nucleotides) under uncultured bacterium. RNAcentral describes it as "partial 16S ribosomal RNA". It matches the Rfam family "Bacterial small subunit ribosomal RNA", at positions 509 to 807 of the family's 1533-position model. The record is from RNAcentral.
CAGCAGCCACGGUAAUACGAGGGGGGCAAGCGUUGUUCGGAAUUAUUGGGCGUAAAGGGCGCGUAGGCGGUUUGGCAAGUUUGGUGUGAAAUCUUCGGGCUCAACUCGAAGUCUGCAUCGAAAACUGCCGGGCUUGAGUAUGGGAGAGGUGAGUGGAAUUUCCGGUGUAGCGGUGAAAUGCGUAGAUAUCGGAAGGAACACCUGUGGCGAAAGCGGCUCACUGGACCAUAACUGACGCUGAGGCGCGAAAGCUAGGGGAGCAAACAGGAUUAGAUACCCCUGUAGUCCCUGUCUCUUAUAC